UAUUAUUCAUUUAUUUGUAAGAAUUUAGUUUUUUUUUGUUGGGUAUGAAGAUUGAUGCUUAAUUUUGAAGCAACUUUAAGUUUUGAAGAUGGGAUCAUGCUUUAAAUGGUUAAUUUAUUAAGUUUAUGUGUUUAUUUAAUGUUACCCUGUUUCAAUUUGAUUUAAUCCAUAAACGAUUUCAGAUCUCGAUUGAUUCAGGUAUAGUCAUUCUUUGAUAUUGGUAUAUAUUGCAGAUCCAGUCGAUCAUCCUUCUGAGGCUGAAUGCGAACUAGGGCUUAGAAAUUAGGGCUUUAGCAACACCUUCAUUUUCUAACAGUAAGCAGCUUUUGAUAGGCAUUAGGAUAAAAGCUUCUGGUGGGCAUUGAUACCUUACAGAUUUAGAAGAAGAAGGAUUGUCCGGGUGGUAAUUUGUGUAUGAGUUCAAAUGAGUCGAAUGUGAGAACAUCUAAACAGUUAUGGGAGUUACAUUUGGAGCAAUGCUUGAAUAGAUACAGGAGUUGUAUAAACAACACCAUUAACCAUGUUUCUUAUAUUUCUAAGGUGAAUUUAUAAAGACAUUUGGAUUUGACCCUUCUUACGCUGACUACUCGAAAGUGUUGAUCAAAUCUCUGUUUAGCAAUACAUCAUGUUUUCUUACCAAAAUUGAGGUUUGGAGAUCUAAAUUUGCAAAAUCCAGAGAACAAAGUCAUUGCUCAACUUUUUCAGAAAAAUAAUGCUGGAAAUAUUUUGGAAUGUCGUAUCUACUUGUUGAAUGCAGUCCGCACUCGUGACUAUGUACAGAACUCAGCAUGUAUUUUGGUCUCGGGCAGAUUAAGUGAUCGUGGUGUAAACAAAAUGAUACUAGUUGUAUGCCGGAGAGAACAAAGUUCCAUAUCUUGGCAUUUGCUUAGGCACACAGAUUUCUGUUAUUGAGAUUUCUAGAUCUGAUUUCAACAACCCGUUUAACCUGUUUGAAUAAUUGUUUAACUUGUUGGACGACAUGGAUGGAAGAAACACGCAUAACACGGCUAGACAAGGCGAAGAUCAAGGCUACAAUCUGGUUUU
This is a long non-coding RNA of Helianthus annuus (common sunflower), 1044 nucleotides long. RefSeq lists it as uncharacterized. NCBI's taxonomy places the organism in Eukaryota, Viridiplantae, Streptophyta, Magnoliopsida, Asterales, Asteraceae. The record is from RefSeq and is a predicted model, not a curated record. The transcript is spliced from 6 exons.